RNAcentral lists this ribosomal RNA (392 nucleotides) under uncultured bacterium. Its description in RNAcentral is "bacterial SSU rRNA". It matches the Rfam family "Bacterial small subunit ribosomal RNA", at positions 28 to 423 of the family's 1533-position model. The record is from RNAcentral.
GACGAACGCUGGCGGCGUGCUUAACACAUGCAAGUCGAGCGGCAAGGCCCUUUCGGGGGUACACGAGCGGCGAACGGGUGAGUAACACGUGGGUGACCUGCCCUUAGCUCUGGGAUAAGCCUGGGAAACUGGGUCUAAUACCGGAUAUGACUCCAUGACGCAUGUUGUGGGGUGGAAAGCCUUGUGCGGCUAGGGAUGGGCCCGCGGCCUAUCAGCUUGUUGGUGGGGUGAUGGCCUACCAAGGCGACGACGGGUAGCCGGCCUGAGAGGGCGACCGGCCACACUGGGACUGAGACACGGCCCAGACUCCUACGGGAGGCAGCAGUGGGGAAUCUUGCGCAAUGGGCGAAAGCCUGACGCAGCGACGCCGCGUGAGGGAUGACGGCCUCGGU